UACGUAGGUGGCAAGCGUUAUCCGGAUUUACUGGGUGUAAAGGGCGUGUAGGCGGGAAAGCAAGUCAGAUGUGAAAACCAUGGGCUCAACCUGUGGCCUGCAUUUGAAACUGUUUUUCUUGAGUACUGGAGAGGCAGACGGAAUUCCUAGUGUAGCGGUGAAAUGCGUAGAUAUUAGGAGGAACACCAGUGGCGAAGGCGGUCUGCUGGACAGCAACUGACGCUGAGGCGCGAAAGCGUGGGGAGUAAACAGG
Molecule: ribosomal RNA, 253 nt
Filed under: uncultured bacterium
Lineage: Bacteria
Description: partial 16S ribosomal RNA
Rfam family: Bacterial small subunit ribosomal RNA
Source: RNAcentral